CAGAAAUAGAACUGAAAACACUGAAUGAGAAACCAGUGUGAAACUAUAUGAAGAUUAACAGAAGAGACCCCACCUGCAUGAUGCACCUAGUCGCAGUUUUUUCCUCCAGUAGUCAACCACCAGCUCUUUUUGUCUUGCUGACAUUAAGAAGGAGGUGAUUUUUACCCGACCACUCCACAAAAUUCCCCGACAGCUCCCUAUACUCCAACUCCUGCUCACCCUUAACCCGCCCAUUCACUAUAGUGACAUCAGAGAACUUCUGCAGGUGGCAUGAUUCACUGUUGCACUGAAAAUCUGAGGUGUACAAAGUGAACAUGAAUGGAGACUGGACCGUCCCCUGUGGUGCCCAAGUAUUACUAACCACCACAUCACACAUGGUGCCUAACAUCUAUAGAAACUGAGGCCUCUCUGAUAAUGGAUGGCGCAAUGUAGAGGAAUAAAAGUAUUGUAUAAAGCAGCAGUAAAUGGAAAAGGCUGCAUUUAUACAUGUCAGAAAGCUUCUAGUCCUCCUCAGUCUGUUCAGUGGUGUGAAAGCAGAAAGUAAAAACAUACUCAAAUAUCAUACAAAAAACAUACCAAAGAAAGGCAAAUAAAUGAUAUUUUAUUAGGUCAAAGUAUAUUUCAGUGUGGAUGAUAGAAAAUGGAUAGGUUUUUUCAGAAAACAGCUAAAAUCAGAUGAAGGUGAUAUAGUACAUUAGCAACAGAAGCUUCAUCCCAUACAUUUGAAUUCAUGUGCACUGUUUCGGUGUGAUGCUGCUGUGACUGAGCUUUUUGAGUGACAGCAAAAGAUCAUACCACAAUCUAAAGAAGCUGAAGAAAAUACUUUUUAAAUAUUUUAUUUAUGUAAUUAUGCGCAAUAAAGAUUAAUUUUUAUAUUAUACUGUUUAUUUCCUCUUAUUUUGGAGCACAAAGCUGUUUCAUUUCAUUAACCAUACAGCUAAAGUCACAUCAGUUGAAAGAACUUGUUAUUACAUUAAAAAAAGCAACUGA
This is a non-coding RNA of Neolamprologus brichardi, 990 nucleotides long. NCBI's taxonomy places the organism in Eukaryota, Metazoa, Chordata, Actinopteri, Cichliformes, Cichlidae. The record is from RefSeq and is a predicted model, not a curated record.